UCUUUUCCUUUUUUUCCCUCAGCCGCGGUAAUACGUAGGGGGCAAGCGUUAUCCGGAUUUACUGGGUGUAAAGGGAGCGUAGACGGCAAGGCAAGUCUGAUGUGAAAACCCAGGGCUUAACCCUGGGACUGCAUUGGAAACUGUCUGGCUCGAGUGCCGGAGAGGUAAGCGGAAUUCCUAGUGUAGCGGUGAAAUGCGUAGAUAUUAGGAAGAACACCAGUGGCGAAGGCGGCUUACUGGACGGUAACUGACGUUGAGGCUCGAAAGCGUGGGGAGCAAACAGG
Molecule: ribosomal RNA, 284 nt
Filed under: Fusicatenibacter saccharivorans
Lineage: Bacteria; Bacillati; Bacillota; Clostridia; Lachnospirales; Lachnospiraceae
Description: partial 16S ribosomal RNA
Rfam family: Bacterial small subunit ribosomal RNA
Source: RNAcentral